Molecule: ribosomal RNA, 500 nt
Filed under: uncultured bacterium
Lineage: Bacteria
Description: partial 16S ribosomal RNA
Rfam family: Bacterial small subunit ribosomal RNA
Source: RNAcentral
AUUGAACGCUGGCGGCAGGCCUAACACAUGCAAGUCGAGCGGAUGAGGGUAGCUUGCUACCUGAUUCAGCGGCGGACGGGUGAGUAAUGCCUAGGAAUCUGCCCGAUAGUGGGGGACAACGUUUCGAAAGGAACGCUAAUACCGCAGACGUCCUACGGGCGAAAGAGGGGGAUCUUCGCACCUCACGCAAUCGGAUGAGCCUAGGUCGGAUUAGCUAGUGGGUGAGGUAAUGGCUCACCAAGGCUACGAUCCGUAACUGGUCUGAGAGGAUGAUCAGUCACACUGGAACUGAGACACGGUCCAGACUCCUACGGGAGGCAGCAGUGGGGAAUAUUGGACAAUGGGCGAAAGCCUGAUCCAGCCAUGCCGCGUGUGUGAAGAAGGUCUUCGGAUUGUAAAGCACUUUAAGUUGGGAGGAAGGGCUGUAGGCUAAUAUCCUGCAGUUUUGACGUUACCAACAGAAUAAGCACCGGCUAACUUCGUGCCAGCCGCCGCGGUAA